This 402-nucleotide ribosomal RNA is filed under the name Rhizobium leguminosarum. Its description in RNAcentral is "bacterial SSU rRNA". It matches the Rfam family "Bacterial small subunit ribosomal RNA", at positions 20 to 452 of the family's 1533-position model. The record is from RNAcentral. Lineage: Bacteria; Pseudomonadati; Pseudomonadota; Alphaproteobacteria; Hyphomicrobiales; Rhizobiaceae.
UGGCUCAGAACGAACGCUGGCGGCAGGCUUAACACAUGCAAGUCGAGCGCCCCGCAAGGGGAGCGGCAGACGGGUGAGUAACGCGUGGGAAUCUACCCUUGACUACGGAAUAACGCAGGGAAACUUGUGCUAAUACCGUAUGUGUCCUUCGGGAGAAAGAUUUAUCGGUCAAGGAUGAGCCCGCGUUGGAUUAGCUAGUUGGUGGGGUAAAGGCCUACCAAGGCGACGAUCCAUAGCUGGUCUGAGAGGAUGAUCAGCCACAUUGGGACUGAGACACGGCCCAAACUCCUACGGGAGGCAGCAGUGGGGAAUAUUGGACAAUGGGCGCAAGCCUGAUCCAGCCAUGCCGCGUGAGUGAUGAAGGCCCUAGGGUUGUAAAGCUCUUUCACCGGAGAAGAUAAU